AUACCUAUCUGGCAGGGGAGAUCCCAUGAUCAUAAAGGUGGUUUUUCCAGGACAAGGCUUAUCCUUUGCAUCUGGAGGUGCUGACCCCUGCAAUUUCUCCAAAUGUGGGAAACUCAACUGAAUAAUUUGUGGUAGUGGGGGACGGCAUUGGCAUUCUCACC
RNAcentral lists this small nuclear RNA (161 nucleotides) under Carlito syrichta (Philippine tarsier). RNAcentral's name for it is "U1 spliceosomal RNA (ENSTSYG00000035947.1)". It matches the Rfam family "U1 spliceosomal RNA". Rfam says of the family: U1 is a small nuclear RNA (snRNA) component of the spliceosome (involved in pre-mRNA splicing). Its 5' end forms complementary base pairs with the 5' splice junction, thus defining the 5' donor site of an intron. There are significant differences in sequence and secondary structure between metazoan and yeast U1 snRNAs, the latter being much longer (568 nucleotides as compared to 164 nucleotides in human). The record is from Rfam by way of RNAcentral. Lineage: Eukaryota; Metazoa; Chordata; Mammalia; Primates; Tarsiidae.